CCUACGGGGGGCAGCAGUAGGGAAUCUUUCACAAUGGGCGAAAGCCUGAUGGAGCAACGCCGCGUGCAGGAUGAAGGCCUUCGGGUUGUAAACUGCUUUUAUAAGCGAGCAAUAUGAUGGUAACUUAUGAAUAAGGAUCGGCUAACUACGUGCCAGCAGCCGCCGUCAUACGUAGGAUCCGAGCAUUAUCCGGAGUGACUGGGUGUAAAGAGUUGCGUAGGUGGCAUAAUAAGUAGCUAGUGAAAUCUGGUGGCUCAACCAUUCAGACUAUUAGCUAAACUGUUAAGCUCGAGACCGUUAGGGGUAACUGGAAUGUCUAGUGUAGGAGUGAAAUCCGUAGAUAUUAGAAGGAACACCAAUAGCGUAGGCAGGUUGCUGGGACGGUUCUGACACUAAGGCACGAAAGCGUAGGGAGCAAACGGGAUUAGAUACCCUGGUAGUC
RNAcentral lists this ribosomal RNA (442 nucleotides) under uncultured bacterium. RNAcentral describes it as "partial 16S ribosomal RNA". It matches the Rfam family "Bacterial small subunit ribosomal RNA", at positions 338 to 795 of the family's 1533-position model. The record is from RNAcentral.